Molecule: long non-coding RNA, 2939 nt
Organism: Cebus imitator (Panamanian white-faced capuchin)
Lineage: Eukaryota; Metazoa; Chordata; Mammalia; Primates; Cebidae
Exons: 4
Source: RefSeq, a predicted model, not a curated record
CCUCACAAUAAACCAGACCAGAAGGAUGUCCCAUCCGAAUGCCCACACCUCUCCAUCUCGGCUCUUUGGGUCGUCUCCACCUACUGCCCUCCCAUCUACACUUGACUACAGACUGGUUUAGUCUGCUGGCCCGGGUGUCAGGGCCAAUCAUCAAUAAAGUCCUCAGACCAAUUUUGUGCUCAGGCCUUUCUCCCGGCAGUGGAUCGCAACCACAGUUGCGUGACCAGCUAAUUUCUCAUUAACCCAUUUUUUACAUUCUAGAUUCCCAUGUCUGGAAGGACCUCAUCCUGGCAAUAGAAUUACUGGCGUUUGUUAGGAGCUGGGUACUAAGCUGUCGCCACAAUUAGUUAAUCCUCCCAACGCCUGGGAGAAGGGUGUUACCAUUAACCCCAUUUUGCUCGUUAGUAAACUGAGGCAUGGGACAGUGAAGGCCCACCAAGGUCAUACAGCUGCUAUUUGCGAAGCUGCUGGGAUUCCAGUUAGGCUUGUCAGACUCUAGUGACCAACUUAUCCACUGUCCUCUUUAAAGAUGUUACAAAACCCUGUAGAAUCUUAGGAAAACUAAUUUAAAGACAUAAUUUCACAUCCAAUUUAAAGGAGGUUGGGGCAGGAAUACUCUAUGAAACUCAAUCCAUUAAUCCCGGGGAUGGACCCCAGUUUAAUCCAAUUCACUCAUUUCCCUAAGGCAGAAACAAGGCUAGAGAGGGGAGGUGAGCAAGCCAGAGACAGAGCCAGGGAGGACCACACCCCAGGGCCCAGCCUCCUCCUGGGUCUCCCUUUGGCUGUGUGGGAGGAAGGAGGUGGUGAGGCGUCCAGCCUGGCUGGGGUCAGGGCUGGGUGUUGGGGAUCAGGUCAGGAGUUUCCAUCCCGAAGGGAAGUGUCACUACUUUGAGAGGAAAACAAGACGCAAACCAUUUGAACCACCAUGUUCCUGACGCCUGACAUCCCUCCCUCCAACUGGCCCAGACGCCCCAGCCCUUGGGGUCGCAGUGCAGAGAAAGACAACAGCACCCGCCAGCCAGCCCCAUCUCCUCCAGCCACGACUCCCGGCUCCCCAGGCUUCCAGCUGGGACUGAUGGUAAUCACUCCCACACCCCAACCCCAGCCUGGGGAAGGGAAGAGAAGGAAGGUCUUCCCCCACCCCAAGCCGUCUCUGGCCUGCGGUCAGAGGGAGGGGCUCUAGCUGUGGAAAGUUGGCAGAGGCGGCCGGCAGCAGCCGGGAGAGUGGAAAAAAUGAUAUCAAACCCGGAAAAAUGCAGGCCGGAUGGAGGGCCGGAGUGGGCCCUGGGAGAGGAGACAAAGUUUUGCUGUGUUGCCCAUGAUGGUCUCAAAUUCCUGAAUCCAAGAUCCUCCCACCUCAGUUUCCCAAGAUGCUGAGAUGACAGGCAUGAACCACUGGGCCCCGCCCUGCUAUUGUACCUUAAGGCCUUGCAGAAACCAGGAUUUGUUAAGGGAAUGAAAGCUCCUUGAGGGAAGGGCCCUCAGUGCUGCCCUGACCCCAGCACCUACAACCAGUGCCUGGCUCAUAAUAGGUGUCUGUGAAUAGGGAGCGGCUGGGAAAGCAUGUGAGAAAACCACACUCUCCCUUCCAGGGACACAGCCUAUUAUAGUUUAGAAAUUACUUUCUCAUCCAUAAAAACAAAACCAAAAAAAUAGCCAACUUUGUUUUAACUCUUUCUCUGUUAGUAUUGGGCCCAAUGCUGCAUGCUGGGUACAGAUUUUCUCACAUUCUCAUCACCACAACCCUUCACUUAAUAGGUACCGUUUAAUAGAUGAGGACACGGAGGCUAAGAGAACCCAAAAAUCUCUCCAAGGCUGUACAGCAAGAAAGGGCCAGAUCAGUGGUCGAAAGGAAGGCAGGAACUGCCGUCUUAGUUGCACAAUCAGGGAAACUGAGACUCAGAAAGAGGGGAUGAGUUGUCUAAGCCCAAAGUCAUGUAAUAAACAGCAAACAGUUACGUCACUCUUACUAUAUACCAGGUGCUGUGCUAAGCGUUCUUCAUACAUUAAUUUAUUAAAUCCUGAAAACUGAUCAUAUUAUCACCACACCAGUUUUGAGAUGGAGAAAACUGUAGCACAGAGAAGUUCAGUAACCUGCUAAGACUGCAGUUAGCAAGUAGCAGAACCAGAAUUCACACCAGAGAGGUCUAGCUCAUAGCAUUAAGGGUGGUCUGUGUUGCACCAUUUGUUGGCACAGCAAGCCUGGAACAGGCUGGUAUAAAAAGGAAGGUGUCUUUGUCUCCAGCCCUGCUGCCUGGGCUAGUGUCAAGGCAGAGAACAAAAGCACAUUGAGAGCAUCCUCAGUUGCCAGCUGGGACUUUCCACCUUGAAGGGAGGAUACUGUUAUGGAAAAAAUGAUAAAGCUCUUGGAAGAUGGAUGUCUCCCCAGGGGCCCCCAAGCCUCCUCAGAGCCCCUCCUCUUGCUGUAGGGGAGGGCCACAAACUGUGCUGGCCUGGUCCAGAUGAGACAAAGGCCACCUGGAUCCCAAGACACCCCAGCCAGGCUGCUCGAAUACUGAGGAUCAUUGGCCUUGGUGGUAUGUUCCAAUUUCUAAGCCCAGGCAUGAAGCUUCUGCUCAGGGACCCCCAAGGAAUCAGGUUCAGGCUGGAACUCCCUGUCCUUGGAGAUGGGAAAUACACAUCUCAUAGGGCCUACUCCCUCCUUUCUUCAUUCAGCAAACAUUGACAAGGAUAUGAGCUCUGAGGGAAGACACAGAAUGUAGAGAGGAUCAUAGCUAGUGGGUACAGGGACAUCCAAGUCCCUGCCCUGGCCACAAAGGGAAGGGAAGGGUAAACGAGGGGUAGAAGUAGUGAAAAAUUCACCUACAACUGCUUGGUAAUGAUGAAGAAUCCCUCGGGUCUGUCAUGACCAUGUGAUCUUAGGCAAAUCAAAAUAUACAGAGCAAAGGGGUUAACAUAGAAUUCUCUACGUAAUUGUC